This 467-nucleotide ribosomal RNA is filed under the name uncultured bacterium. RNAcentral's name for it is "partial 16S ribosomal RNA". It matches the Rfam family "Bacterial small subunit ribosomal RNA", at positions 28 to 506 of the family's 1533-position model. The record is from RNAcentral.
GACGAACGCUGGCGGCGCGCCUAACACAUGCAAGUCGAACGGAGUCAAGAGGAGCUUGCUUUUCUUGACUUAGUGGCGAACGGGUGAGUAACGCGUGAGUAACCUGCCCUGGAGUGGGGGACAACAGUUGGAAACGACUGCUAAUACCGCAUAAGCCCACGGAUCCGCAUGGCUCUGCGGGAAAAGGAUUUAUUCGCUUCAGGAUGGACUCGCGUCCAAUUAGCUAGUUGGUGAGGUAACGGCCCACCAAGGCGACGAUUGGUAGCCGGACUGAGAGGUUGAACGGCCACAUUGGGACUGAGACACGGCCCAGACUCCUACGGGAGGCAGCAGUGGGGGAUAUUGCACAAUGGGGGAAACCCUGAUGCAGCGACGCCGCGUGGAGGAAGAAGGUUUUCGGAUUGUAAACUCCUGUCGGUAGGGACGAUAAUGACGGUACCUAACAAGAAAGCACCGGCUAACUACGU